AGUGAACGCUGGCGGUAGGCCUAACACAUGCCAGUCGAACGGCAGCACAGUAAGAGCUUGCUCUUACGGGUGGCGAGUGGCGGACGGGUGAGGAAUACAUCGGAAUCUACUUUUUCGUGGGGGAUAACGUAGGGAAACUUACGCUAAUACCGCAUACGACCUACGGGUGAAAGCAGGGGAUCUUCGGACCUUGCGCGAUUGAAUGAGCCGAUGUCGGAUUAGCUAGUUGGCGGGGUAAAGGCCCACCAAGGCGACGAUCCGUAGCUGGUCUGAGAGGAUGACAGCCCAACCUGGAACUGGGACACGGUCCAGACUCCUAGGGGAGGCAGCGGUGGGGAAUUUGGGAAAAUGGGCGCAAGCCUGAUCCGGCCAUACCGGGGGGGUGAAGAAGGCCUUCGGGUUGGAAAGCCCUUUUGUUGGGAAAGAAAAGCAGCAGGUUAAUACCCCGCUGUUUUGACGGAACCAAAAAAAAAAGCCCCGGCUAACUUCGU
Molecule: ribosomal RNA, 491 nt
Filed under: uncultured bacterium
Lineage: Bacteria
Description: partial 16S ribosomal RNA
Rfam family: Bacterial small subunit ribosomal RNA
Source: RNAcentral